Non-coding RNA from Oryctolagus cuniculus (rabbit), 477 nucleotides. The record is from the annotation of a RefSeq genome assembly. NCBI's taxonomy places the organism in Eukaryota, Metazoa, Chordata, Mammalia, Lagomorpha, Leporidae.
AAGAGGAGCAGAUUUGCAUGAAGGACGUCUCAGGCUCCUCUGGGGCCAGGGCGGGGAUAAGAGCCCUGCAGAGCAUCGGCCUCGGCUGAGCCCUGGGGAGUCUGCACCAUGGCCUGCACCCCGCUCCUCCUCCUCCUCACCCUCCUCCAGUGCACAGGGUCCCUGUCCCAGCCUGUGCUGACUCAGUCGCCCUCUGCAUCUGCCACCCUGGGAGCCUCGGCCAAGCUCACCUGCACCCUGAGCAGUGCCCACAAGACCUACACCAUUGCAUGGUAUCAGCAGCAGCAAGGGGAGGCCCCUUGGUACCUAAUGAAGCUUAAGAGUGAUGGAAGCUACACCAAGGGGACCGGGGUCCCUGAUCGCUUCUCGGGCUCCAGCUCUGGGGCUGACCGCUACUUGAUCAUCUCCAGCGUCCAGGCUGAUGACGAAGCCGACUACUAUUGUGGUGCAGGUUAUAGCAGUGGGUAUGCACAGUGA